RNAcentral lists this non-coding RNA (29 nucleotides) under Mus musculus (house mouse). Lineage: Eukaryota; Metazoa; Chordata; Mammalia; Rodentia; Muridae. The record is from RNAcentral.
UCGAACUCAGAAAUCCACUGCCUCUGCCU